GGAAUUGAGUUGCAGGGCGGGGCAGGGCAGGUUGCUUCAAAGCGCCUACUGCUGCCCUGAGUGGAGAAAGAAUGCAAUUAAUUAAUUACGCUAUCUUUCCCGAGAAGCGGGUAGGCGAGUUGUGGCUCGCGGGAGAUAAAUUCUCAGACUCUUGUAGGCGUUCGUUUCUCCCAUUUCUGGUUUUCAUAUGAAGCUGUCCCAUGUGCGAGUCACCGGACGUCCCUUGUACCGGGCCGUCUCCAUGCAGUUAGACCCAUUGACUUCAGUGGAUUUAGAGGCUACUGAUGAAAGUUAAAGCAGGAAGUGCCAAAACAUGAUUACAGUUGAACAUCAAGAAGAUGAAAGUAAUGACAACUUACACAAUAUUAAGGUUGACGAUAAAGAGACUGAAGUUAUUAAAAGAUUUUCUAUUCCAUGGCUCAGUCAUCAACUGAAAACCAGGCUGCAACUAAGAAAUCAGGAUACUGAAACUGGGAAGAGACUGGGAAGGGCAGCCAUGAAGAAACUAGAAAAAAAUACUUCAAUGUAAGGCUGUGUCGUUGUUGACCAAGAGAUUUCAUACUGUAGUAUUUCUUAUUACUAUUAAAGGGUAUGAAAGCUGGACGAUAAAGAUUACAAGGCGAAAGUUGAUUUAUUGGAAAUAUGGUAUUGGAGGAGAGUUUGAUAAAUACCAUGGACUGCCAAAAAAGGAAAAUAAGUGCAUGCAUGGAUUCCUGCCUGAAUGACUUGAUUAAGUUUUGAAAGUUACUGUGAGAUGGAAUGGGUGGAUCAAGUGGUAUCACCUGCACAUUGUGAGAGCUAAAUGUUGGUGGAUCAGAUCAUAUAGCAAUACUGUAGCAAAGUCUUUUCUGUUAUUGGUCUGAUAAAUAUUUGUCUUACCAUAGUUCAAAAAAUUAAAAUCCUCCAUAUUUGUCAAGUAAAA
Molecule: long non-coding RNA, 922 nt
Organism: Heteronotia binoei (common prickly gecko)
Lineage: Eukaryota; Metazoa; Chordata; Lepidosauria; Squamata; Gekkonidae
Exons: 2
Source: RefSeq, a predicted model, not a curated record